Small nuclear RNA from Trichosurus vulpecula (common brushtail), 107 nucleotides. The record is from RefSeq and is a predicted model, not a curated record. NCBI's taxonomy places the organism in Eukaryota, Metazoa, Chordata, Mammalia, Diprotodontia, Phalangeridae.
GUGCUCACUUCAGCAGUACCUACGCUAAAAUUGGAAUGAUACAGAGAAGAUUAGCAUGGUCCCUGCGCAAGUAUGAUAUGCAAAUUCGUGAAGCAUUCCAUAUUUUU